GACGAACGCUGGCGGCGUGCUUAACACAUGCAAGUCGAACGGAAAGGCCCUGCUUUUGUGGGGUGCUCGAGUGGCGAACGGGUGAGUAACACGUGAGUAACCUGCCCUUGACUUUGGGAUAACUUCAGGAAACUGGGGCUAAUACCGGCUAGGAGCUCCUGCUGCAUGGUGGGGGUUGGAAAGUUUCGGCGGUUGGGGAUGGACUCGCGGCUUAUCAGCUUGUUGGUGGGGUAGUGGCCUACCAAGGCUUUGACGGGUAGCCGGCCUGAGAGGGUGACCGGCCACAUUGGGACUGAGAUACGGCCCAGACUCCUACGGGAGGCAGCAGUGGGGAAUAUUGCACAAUGGGCGGAAGCCUGAUGCAGCAACGCCGCGGGCGGGAUGACGGCCUUCGGGUUGUAAACCGCUUUCGCCUGUGACGAAGCGUGAGUGACGGUAAUGGGUAAAGAAGCACCGGCUAACUACGUG
RNAcentral lists this ribosomal RNA (468 nucleotides) under uncultured bacterium. Its description in RNAcentral is "partial 16S ribosomal RNA". It matches the Rfam family "Bacterial small subunit ribosomal RNA", at positions 28 to 507 of the family's 1533-position model. The record is from RNAcentral.